AUUCGUUCUCACGGACGCUCCCGACCAGCCGCCCAUAGCCGCAAGCGGAGCCAUUUCAUUAACGCUCCUUUUGUGGCCGUUCGCGUUGGCUGCCGGCUACGUGGGCUGCGGCUCAGAGCGUUCUGGGCAGCCGCGAAUGGUUACGAACGGCCCCCUGGAGCAGAAAAGAGCGGCGAGAAGCAGAACUGUCAGCGCUGUGGUGCUCUGCGCCAACGUUCCGUUGGUCUGACCGCUUCGGGUCGAUGCCAUCCGAGAUUCAGCCUCAAGGUCCUCUCCUGCUCCCCUCCCCGAGGUCCCCGCAGGCUGCACUUUGGCCAAAUGGAAAUUAAAAAUGCAAAAGAGCAAUCGAUCCAUUCAAA
This is a long non-coding RNA of Gallus gallus (chicken), 359 nucleotides long. RefSeq lists it as uncharacterized. The transcript has 2 exons. Lineage: Eukaryota; Metazoa; Chordata; Aves; Galliformes; Phasianidae. The record is from RefSeq and is a predicted model, not a curated record.